AUUGAACGCUGGCGGCAGGCCUAACACAUGCAAGUCGAGCGGAUGAAGGGAGCUUGCUCCUGGAUUCAGCGGCGGACGGGUGAGUAAUGCCUAGGAAUCUGCCUGGUAGUGGGGGAUAACGUCCGGAAACGGGCGCUAAUACCGCAUACGUCCUGAGGGAGAAAGUGGGGGAUCUUCGGGCCUCACGCUAUCAGAUGAGCCUAGGUCGGAUUAGCUAGUUGGUGGGGUAAAGGCCUACCAAGGCGACGAUCCGUAACUGGUCUGAGAGGAUGAUCAGUCACACUGGAACUGAGACACGGUCCAGACUCCUACGGGAGGCAGCAGUGGGGAAUAUUGGACAAUGGGCGAAAGCCUGAUCCAGCCACGCCGCGUGUGUGAAGAAGGUCUGCGGAUUGUAAAGCACUUUAAGUUGGGAGGAAGGGCAGUAAGUUAAUACCUUGCUGUUUGGACGUUACCAACAGAAUAAGCACCGGCUAACUUCGU
RNAcentral lists this ribosomal RNA (483 nucleotides) under uncultured bacterium. RNAcentral describes it as "partial 16S ribosomal RNA". It matches the Rfam family "Bacterial small subunit ribosomal RNA", at positions 30 to 506 of the family's 1533-position model. The record is from RNAcentral.